GCAACGAGCGCAACCCCUACGUUUAGUUGCUAACGCGUGAAGGCGAGCACUCUAGACGAACUGCCGUUGACAAAACGGAGGAAGUGGGGAUGACGUCAAAUCAUCAUGCCCCUUAUGUUCUGGGCUACACACGUGCUACAAUGGCCGGUACAGACGGACGCAAAGCCGCGAGGUGGAGCAAAUCCUAAAAAGCCGGUCUCAGUUCGGAUUGCAGGCUGCAAUUCGCCUGCAUGAAGUCGGAAUCGCUAGUAAUCGCAGGUCAGCAUACUGCGGUGAAUACGUUCCCGGGCCUU
This 293-nucleotide ribosomal RNA is filed under the name uncultured Pelotomaculum sp. RNAcentral describes it as "partial 16S ribosomal RNA". It matches the Rfam family "Bacterial small subunit ribosomal RNA", at positions 1089 to 1382 of the family's 1533-position model. Lineage: Bacteria; Bacillati; Bacillota; Clostridia; Eubacteriales; Desulfotomaculaceae. The record is from RNAcentral.